RNAcentral lists this ribosomal RNA (713 nucleotides) under uncultured bacterium. Its description in RNAcentral is "bacterial SSU rRNA". It matches the Rfam family "Bacterial small subunit ribosomal RNA", at positions 773 to 1498 of the family's 1533-position model. The record is from RNAcentral.
CAGGAUUAGAUACCCUGGUAGUCUACGCAGUAAACGAUGGAUACUCGUUGUCGGGGAAAUUGAGACUCGGUGGCUAAGCGAAAGUGAUAAGUAUCCCACCUGGGGAGUACGAUCGCAAGAUUGAAACUCAAAGGAAUUGACGGGGGCCCGCACAAGCGGUGGAGCAUGUGGUUUAAUUCGAUGAUACGCGAGGAACCUUACCUGGGCUUAAAUGUAUAUUGACAGGACUAGAAAUAGUUUUUCCUUCGGGCAAUUUACAAGGUGCUGCAUGGUUGUCGUCAGCUCGUGCCGUGAGGUGUCAGGUUAAGUCCUAUAACGAGCGCAACCCCUAUCGAUAGUUGCUAGCAGGUAAAGCUGAGGACUCUAUUGAGACUGCCGGUGCAAACCGCGAGGAAGGUGGGGAUGACGUCAAAUCAUCACGGCCCUUACGUCCAGGGCCACACACGUGCUACAAUGGUGCAUACAGAGAGCAGCCAACCUGUGAGGGUGAGCGAAUCUUAAAAGUGCAUCACAGUUCGGAUCGUAGUCUGCAACUCGACUACGUGAAGCUGGAAUCGCUAGUAAUCGCAGAUCAGCCAUGCUGCGGUGAAUACGUUCCCGGGCCUUGUACACACCGCCCGUCAAGCCAUGGAAGCUGGGGGUACCUGAAGUUCGUAACCGCAAGGAGCGACCUAGGGUAAAACUGGUAACUGGGGCUAAGUCGUAACAAGGUA